This 429-nucleotide ribosomal RNA is filed under the name Purpureocillium lilacinum. RNAcentral's name for it is "LSU rRNA". It matches the Rfam family "Eukaryotic large subunit ribosomal RNA", at positions 480 to 935 of the family's 3401-position model. The record is from RNAcentral. Lineage: Eukaryota; Fungi; Ascomycota; Sordariomycetes; Hypocreales; Ophiocordycipitaceae.
CAUUCCGCCGGUUCAGCCAGCAUCAGUCGCGCGGGGAAAAGGCUUCGGGAACGUGGCUCCUACGGGAGUGUUAUAGCCCGUUGCAUAAUACCCUGGGCGGACUGAGGUUCGCGCUCCGCAAGGAUGCUGGCGUAAUGGUCAUCAGCGACCCGUCUUGAAACACGGACCAAGGAGUCGUCUUCGUAUGCGAGUGUUCGGGUGUAAAACCCCUACGCGUAAUGAAAGUGAACGCAGGUGAGAGCUUCGGCGCAUCAUCGACCGAUCCUGAUGUUCUCGGAUGGAUUUGAGUAAGAGCAUACGGGGCCGGACCCGAAAGAAGGUGAACUAUGCCUGUAUAGGGUGAAGCCAGAGGAAACUCUGGUGGAGGCUCGCAGCGGUUCUGACGUGCAAAUCGAUCGUCAAAUAUGGGCAUGGGGGCGAAAGACUAAU